Acanthopagrus latus (yellowfin seabream) is the source of this 498-nucleotide long non-coding RNA. RefSeq lists it as uncharacterized. The record is from RefSeq and is a predicted model, not a curated record. The transcript is spliced from 3 exons. NCBI's taxonomy places the organism in Eukaryota, Metazoa, Chordata, Actinopteri, Spariformes, Sparidae.
UAUCUUCAGUUACAUCUUUUUUUUUAAAAUAAAAAAAGGUAGCAGUAAAGAAAAUGGAAAUACAUUUUGUAAAGGACUAUCUCACAAACCACCACUGCACAUUUCCUACAGAUCUAGAGGCUGGAAUGUAUGCGCUUUUUUCUUUUUUUUUGAAGCUUCAGCAGUAGUUAUAAGGUCAGAUCACAAUAACAUGUCUCUGUAUCACACCUGAUUGAGGUCAGUGGAACUGCGUUGCCUCAGUGUUCCCAGCACCUGACAGAUCUUGAAGAUCUCAUCCACCUCACUGUUGCCAGGGAACAGGGGUCUCAGUGUGUAGAGCUCCGCCAUGAUGCAUCCCACAGCCCAGAUGUCGAUGGGAACUGCACAUUGCCCUGAUGCUGUAAAUAACUGAGUCUCACCAUCUUGUGGACACAUAAUCUGUGUACGGCGGCUGCGAGCGGAUCUCUCUGGCUAGUCCAAAAUCAGCGAUCUUAACCAGCUCGGGGCCCAUGCACAGCA